CCUACGGGUGGCAGCAGUGAGGAAUAUUGGUCAAUGGGCGCGAGCCUGAACCAGCCAAGUCGCGUGAGGGAAGACGGUCCUAUGGAUUGUAAACCUCUUUUGUCGGGGAGCAAACGACGCCACGCGUGGCGUUCCGAGAGUACCCGAAGAAAAAGCAUCGGCUAACUCCGUGCCAGCAGCCGCGGUAAUCCGGAGGAUGCGAGCGUUCUCCGGAUUCAUUGGGUUUAAAGGGUGCGUAGGUUGUUUUAUAAGUUAGCGGUGAAAUACCGAUGCUCAACAUCGGGGCUGCCGCUAAUACUGUAGGACUAGAGAUCGGAUGCAGCAGGCGGAAUGUGUAGUGUAGCGGUGAAAUGCAUAGAUAUUACACAGAACACCGAUUGCGAAGGCAGCUUGCUAGGCCGGAUCUGACACUGAUGCACGAAAGCGUGGGGAUCGAACAGGAUUAGAUACCCUGGUAGUC
RNAcentral lists this ribosomal RNA (460 nucleotides) under uncultured bacterium. RNAcentral describes it as "partial 16S ribosomal RNA". It matches the Rfam family "Bacterial small subunit ribosomal RNA", at positions 338 to 795 of the family's 1533-position model. The record is from RNAcentral.